This 1176-nucleotide ribosomal RNA is filed under the name Escherichia coli. RNAcentral's name for it is "partial 23S ribosomal RNA". It matches the Rfam family "Bacterial large subunit ribosomal RNA", at positions 930 to 2123 of the family's 2925-position model. The record is from RNAcentral. Lineage: Bacteria; Pseudomonadati; Pseudomonadota; Gammaproteobacteria; Enterobacterales; Enterobacteriaceae.
UUUCACCUACCGAAUACUUUCAAACUCCUAAGGCCUUCAUCUUAUACUUGGGAGUCAGACUGUGGGUGUGAAGAUUCAUAGUCGAAAGGGCAACAGCCCAGAUCGUCAGCUAAGGUCCCUAAAUGUAAGUUAAGUGGUAAAGGAUGUGGGAUUGCACAGACAACCAGGAUGUUGGCUUAGAAGCAGCCACUCAUUCAAAGAGUGCGUAAUAGCUCACUGGUCGAGUGAUCCUGCGCCGAAGAUUUCCGGGGCUAAAACUUACUACCGAAGCUACGGCAUCAGUAAUGAUGGGUAGGGGAGCUUCCCAUACGGGUUGAAGCAUGACCGUAAGGACAUGUGGACAGUAUGGGAGUGAGAAUGUUGGCAUGAGUAGCGAGAUGUGGGUGGGAAUCCCACAGGCCGUAAACCCAAGGUUUCCAGGGGAAGGUUCGUCCACCCUGGGUUAGUCGGGACCUAAGCUGAGGCCGAAAGGCGUAGGUGAUGGACAACAGGUUGAUAUUCCUGUACUACCGAUAACCGUUUGAGAGAAGGGAUGACACAGUAGGAUAAGCUAAGCACACUGUUGGUUAUGUGUGCCCAAGCAUUGAGGCAGUCAAAGUAGGCAAAUCCGCUUUGAUAAUGCUGGGAUGUGAUGGGGAGCGAAAUUUAGUAGCGAAGUAGCUGAUUUCACACUGUCAAGAAAAGUCUCUAUCGAGGUUAAAGGUACCCGUACCGCAAACCGACACAGGUGGGUGAGGAGAGUAUCCUAAGGCCAGCGAGAGAACUGUUGUUAAGGAACUCGGCAAAAUGACCCCGUAACUUAGGGAUAAGGGGUGCCACCAUCAGGUGGCCGCAGAGAAUAGGCCCAAGCGACUGUUUACCAAAAACAUAGGUUUCUGCUAAGUCGCAAGACGAUGUAUAGGAGCUGACGCCUGCCCGGUGCUGGAAGGUUAAGGGGAUCUGUUAGAGCAAUCGAAGCAGUGAACUUAAGCCCCAGUAAACGGCGGCCGUAACUAUAACGGUCCUAAGGUAGCGAAAUUCCUUGUCGGGUAAGUUCCGACCCGCACGAAAGGCGUAACGAUUUGGGCACUGUCUCAACAACAGACUCGGUGAAAUUGUAAUUCCGGUGAAGAUGCCGGAUACCUGCGACAGGACGGAAAGACCCCAUGGAGCUUUACUGUAGCUUGACAUUGGGUC